This 555-nucleotide ribosomal RNA is filed under the name Meyerozyma guilliermondii. Its description in RNAcentral is "LSU rRNA". It matches the Rfam family "Eukaryotic large subunit ribosomal RNA", at positions 85 to 657 of the family's 3401-position model. Lineage: Eukaryota; Fungi; Ascomycota; Pichiomycetes; Serinales; Debaryomycetaceae. The record is from RNAcentral.
AGCGGCGAGUGAGCGGCAAAAGCUCAAAUUUGAAAUCUGGCGCCUUCGGUGUCCGAGUUGUAAUUUGAAGAUUGUAACCUUGGGGUUGGCUCUUGUCUAUGUUUCUUGGAACAGGACGUCACAGAGGGUGAGAAUCCCGUGCGAUGAGAUGCCCAAUUCUAUGUAAGGUGCUUUCGAAGAGUCGAGUUGUUUGGGAAUGCAGCUCUAAGUGGGUGGUAAAUUCCAUCUAAAGCUAAAUAUUGGCGAGAGACCGAUAGCGAACAAGUACAGUGAUGGAAAGAUGAAAAGAACUUUGAAAAGAGAGUGAAAAAGUACGUGAAAUUGUUGAAAGGGAAGGGUUUGAGAUCAGACUCGAUAUUUUGUGAGCCUUGCCUUCGUGGCGGGGUGACCCGCAGCUUAUCGGGCCAGCAUCGGUUUGGGCGGUAGGAUAAUGGCGUAGGAAUGUGACUUUACUUCGGUGAAGUGUUAUAGCCUGCGUUGAUGCUGCCUGCCUAGACCGAGGACUGCGAUUUUAUCAAGGAUGCUGGCAUAAUGAUCCCAAACCGCCCGUCUUGA